RNAcentral lists this small RNA (747 nucleotides) under Pongo abelii (Sumatran orangutan). RNAcentral's name for it is "retained intron". Lineage: Eukaryota; Metazoa; Chordata; Mammalia; Primates; Hominidae. The record is from RNAcentral.
AAAAAAGAAAAUUUUGUAGAUAGUGGUAAAGAGGGAGAAACAACCAUGAUUGUCCUCUUACCCUGUGACAUUUUAGUGAAUAGUCUUUCAGACAUCUUUCUAUGCAAAUUGUUCAACCAUGUAUUUAUAUGUAUAAAAGCUAUUAUGUGCUUUUAUGACUCUAGUAGUUGUAAAUCUGAUUCAUGGUGUUUCUAAUACAUGGUAUUAGAAACUGCACAGAAGCAUGUGGCAAGCCCUGGACUUGAACAUGACACUCAGCCUUUGGUGGGCUGGUGACUGCCAUCUGGCAGUCCAGAGGGCUCAUUUGGAGAAUAACUCUACAAAUUCCCCAGGAAAGCAUUCCCUCAAGUCGUUUCAGGACAUGGGACCUCAGGAGUUUGGCUAAGGUUCAAAAGCACUAAACAAUUUGUUCUGAUCCACAGCUACCAAGUGGCCCAUCCAACAGGACUUCUCAGGUGAAAGUUGUGGAGGUCAAGCCCGAUAUGUUUCCUCCAUAUAAGUACAGCUGCACUGUCACAUUGGAUUUGGGCCUGGCUACAUCAAGAGGCCGGGGAAAGUGCAAGAAUCCCUCUUGUAGCUAUGUCUACACCAACAGGCACAAACCUCGCAUUUGUCCCAGCUGUGGUGUUAACCUUGCCAAAGACCGGACUGAGAAAACCACCAAGGCUAUUGUCUCUUUAAUGUGGGGAACAAGCUGCUGGUAAGCCUGGACUUGCUUUUUGCAAUCAGAAACCAGAUCAAGCUUGG